UACGUAGGGGGCUAGCGUUGUCCGGAAUCAUUGGGCGUAAAGCGCGUGUAGGCAGUCCGGUAAGUCCGCUGUGAAAGUCGGGGGCUCAACCCUCGGAUGCCGGUGGAUACUGUCGGGCUUGAGUACGGAAGAGGCGAGUGGAAUUCCUGGUGUAGCGGUGAAAUGCGCAGAUAUCAGGAGGAACACCAAUUGCGAAGGCAGCUCGCUGGGACGUUACUGACGCUGAGACGCGAAAGCGUGGGGAGCAAACAGG
Molecule: ribosomal RNA, 253 nt
Filed under: uncultured bacterium
Lineage: Bacteria
Description: partial 16S ribosomal RNA
Rfam family: Bacterial small subunit ribosomal RNA
Source: RNAcentral